AUACGGAGGGGGCUAGCGUUGUUCGGAAUUACUGGGCGUAAAGCGCGCGUAGGCGGGCUGGUCAGUUGGUGGUGAAAUCCCAGGGCUUAACCCUGGAACUGCCUCUAAUACUGCCAGUCUUGAGUUCGGGAGAGGUGAGUGGAAUUCCUAGUGUAGAGGUGAAAUUCGUAGAUAUUAGGAAGAACACCAGUGGCGAAGGCGGCUCACUGGCCCGAUACUGACGCUGAGGCGCGAAAGCGUGGGGAGCAAACAGGAUUAGAAACCCCGGUAGUCC
Molecule: ribosomal RNA, 274 nt
Filed under: uncultured bacterium
Lineage: Bacteria
Description: partial 16S ribosomal RNA
Rfam family: Bacterial small subunit ribosomal RNA
Source: RNAcentral